Molecule: transfer RNA, 69 nt
Filed under: Scincella reevesii
Lineage: Eukaryota; Metazoa; Chordata; Lepidosauria; Squamata; Scincidae
Description: tRNA-Arg
Rfam family: tRNA
About the family: Transfer RNA (tRNA) molecules are approximately 80 nucleotides in length. Their secondary structure includes four short double-helical elements and three loops (D, anti-codon, and T loops). Further hydrogen bonds mediate the characteristic L-shaped molecular structure. tRNAs have two regions of fundamental functional importance: the anti-codon, which is responsible for specific mRNA codon recognition, and the 3' end, to which the tRNAs corresponding amino acid is attached (by aminoacyl-tRNA synthetases). tRNAs cope with the degeneracy of the genetic code in two manners: having more than one tRNA (with a specific anti-codon) for a particular amino acid; and 'wobble' base-pairing, i.e. permitting non-standard base-pairing at the 3rd anti-codon position.
Source: RNAcentral
UAGCAGUUAGUAUAGACAAUAUAAUUAAUUUCGACUUAAAAGCCCCAGGUUUAAACCCCGGACUGCUCC